CUCUACGGCUGUGCCACCCUGAACACACCCAGUCCUAUCUGAUCUUGGAAGCUAAGUAGGGUUGGGCCUGGUUAGUACUUGGAUGGGAGACUACCUUGGAAGACCAGGUGCUGUAGGUG
This 119-nucleotide ribosomal RNA is filed under the name Pteropus alecto (black flying fox). Lineage: Eukaryota; Metazoa; Chordata; Mammalia; Chiroptera; Pteropodidae. The record is from RNAcentral.